This 467-nucleotide ribosomal RNA is filed under the name uncultured bacterium. Its description in RNAcentral is "bacterial SSU rRNA". It matches the Rfam family "Bacterial small subunit ribosomal RNA", at positions 8 to 472 of the family's 1533-position model. The record is from RNAcentral.
AGAGUUUGAUCAUGGCUCAGAUUGAACGCUGGCGGCAGGCUUAACACAUGCAAGUCGAACGGUAACAGAACUAGCUUGCUAGUUGCUGACGAGUGGCGGACGGGUGAGUAACGCGUAGGAAUCUACCGAAUAGUGGGGGACAGCAGUUGGAAACGGCUGCUAAUACCGCAUACGCCCUACGGGGGAAAGGAGGGGAUCUUCGGACCUUUCGCUAUUUGAUGAGCCUGCGUGAGAUUAGUUAGUUGGUGGGGUAAUGGCUCACCAAGGCGACGAUCUCUAGCUGGUCUGAGAGGAUGAUCAGCCACACUGGGACUGAGACACGGCCCAGACUCCUACGGGAGGCAGCAGUGGGGAAUAUUGCACAAUGGGGGAAACCCUGAUGCAGCCAUGCCGCGUGUGUGAAGAAGGCCUUCGGGUUGUAAAGCACUUUCAGUUGUGAGGAAAGGUUAAGGGUUAAUAACCCUUAG